Molecule: transfer RNA, 63 nt
Filed under: Heterocephalus glaber (naked mole-rat)
Lineage: Eukaryota; Metazoa; Chordata; Mammalia; Rodentia; Bathyergidae
Rfam family: tRNA
About the family: Transfer RNA (tRNA) molecules are approximately 80 nucleotides in length.
Source: Rfam by way of RNAcentral
AUGUGGCUCAGUGGUAGAGCACUUGCCUAGCAUGCAUGAGGCCCUGGGUUUUAUCCUCAGCAU